CUAAGAAAAAAACCCAAAACUAUGGAAGAUGAAUUCAUGGUGGGAAGAUUCACACUGGAGUAAAUAUAUUAACAUUCAAUGCUGUACUCUGCAAGAAAAUCCAGUGACUGCAUUAGGGAUAUUCAUGAUAUGAGAUAUAAAACAUCAUGGUUUUCAAAAUAUGUCCCUAAUUUGGCAUGCUCAAAUAAAUAAGGAGAACAAAUUAUAAAGCCUUUGCUUUUUGCAAGUAUUCAGAAAGAAAUGUGAUGAAGAACAAGUUUGUUCAAGACCUGUUUUUCAGAUCUGCAUUGACUUCUACCCACAUCAAUCAGUCCUUGUCAGGGAAAGUAAAUGUUUCACAGACUGGAUCAAACACUGGUUAAUAAGUUAUUUGAGAAUCAAUCUAUAUUUAUCCAGGUUCUGCCUGUUAAUACACAUUGUGGAUUAUUUCCGCUUCUAACCUCUACAUUUCUCUGUGGGUUUAUUAUUGAGUAUUCCAAAAGCAGAGUGGUAAAAUGCUCUAGCUGAAAAACAAAACAGACUGGAAAAACAAAAAUGCAAUAGAUCUGGAAAGCUCAUUUGAAAUUUAUGAGGGAUUUGAAUUUGAAUAUCUGAAUUUGCCAGCCCACAAAGGAAGAAAGUAGGGGGCUGCGAGUGAAGAAGUUUCCUGUGGUUCUUCCUUUAUAAAAAGCGACAAAGGAAGGAACUCUGUACUCAGGCAGGCUUUGUAAAGCUGUUCAGUCUGUGCCUACAUCAAGACUGCUGUCAGGAUGGUGACAGAGCUCAGGAAAGCUUUCUGGGCAUUAACUUGUCUGCUCUUACCUCUGUUCACACAUCCACAGCAUAAGGACCCUGUCCACUGACCUGCAGCUUCCAGAAAACAGAUAGGUUUGGUACACUGUAUGUUCAAAUAAAUUGUAAGAUCUUUUCUCACAGGAUGCAGAGUUUGGCACUCUCUUUCAGUAUUUGCUACUGGAGGUAACUGUAUAUAAUGCAUCCAAGACAGUUUUGCAUAAACCAGGGGUUCUCUAUUUCCAUAAUGUGGAUCACAUCCAAACAGAGGGACUCCUUUUUAGUCUCAAAUACCACAUUCAGUCUUAUGGGCAAAUAACAAUCCUACAACAGCAUUUUUUUUACAAGGACUUUUGAUAUCUUUUCACAAUAAUAAGCUAAAAACCAGGCAAUAAUACCUAGAACAAGGCAAUCCAACAGAUGGUUUCCUACAGAACACAGAAGUGCUGACUAGUGUGUAAAUUGUUCAUGGUCUGAGGACCAUGAAUCAUUGCAUCCCUCAUAAAAAUAGACCUUGGAAACCUACUUAUCUGAAUACAAUUGGUAUGUGCAAAUAAGGACUGUAUGUAGGUUAAGAAGGCAAAAGGAUACAGAAGAGCUUUCAGAAAGAAUGACUGGGUUCAGGGAAGUUUUGUGACUCAGGGAAUGGGAUGCUGUUUUACUAAAGAGCAUGUGCAUGCUUCUAUGACAGUCAUAGACCAGGGAGAGCACUGGUUUUUGAAAGACAGGAUAGUAGGUUUUUAGCUGUUUGGGUGCUAAGAGCUGUCUUGACAUAGAAAACUGGGAAAAUAAAGCCACUUCUUAGAACUGGGGAAGCAACUUCAGGGAGGAGCUAUGGAACUCGAAAGGACGGGUUUGAAGAGGAAGAUUAACUCCCUGGAACUGUCAAGCUCGAGCUAGAUGCUGAAAUAAAUAAAUAUGAAAGCGAUAGUUUGCAGCUAAAAGACCUUACUGUCUCUCUUUGGUGCUACUCCGGAAGAAAAGCAUAGAAACCUCUCUGAGAAGAAAGGUUGCCUUUGUCACAUCUUAGUGGUAAAGUUUAUAAAACAGACAAUGCUAGCUCUUAGGCAGGCAGCAUAAAGAGCAGGGGGGGAAGGACCUGUGCUGGCACAAUGCCUCUUUUUGGCUGUGAAGUGGUAACUAUGAAAUAGUUCCUCAGUUUGGUUUAACUUCUUCUAAAGGAUAAACUGACCUAGUAGAGGGUGAAGGGAAAUUAAUACAGUUCAUGACUGAGGACAUGUCUUUUUUUUGUAGGAGAUGAAGAAGUAAGCAGCAUACUUUUGAAUUUAGGACAGAUCUGAGUUCAAUGAACUGAUACCUGGAAGGCUGGUGACAUUCAUGCUUUACGCAGUGUAUUAAUUAAAAGGAAACCACUAGCAGCCUGUGGCCGGAAUAGGUGCUUUUGACUUAAGUAAAUGAAUUCAUUAAAUUAAAAAAUGGUGAGGCUACAACAAUAGAGCGAGGAAAUGAAGACAUGAUUAUGAGGGUCAGCAUAGCAUUGGCUAAGAUAAAGCACAACACAGAUGGCUUUUCAGAGAUGACAGGCUAAAGGAUUGCUGAUAUGGAAGAUAUCUACAACAACUGAGAAUUGAAUUUAACAGUAGAAUCAUAUUGUUUUUCCAUGGCCUUGAACUUUCUUUUCUUAAGCAAUCAAAAUUUGGCAGAGAUUUUUAAUGGCACUCAUAUGUGCCUGUUAUGUUUCAUAAUGCUUCUACUAGAAGAAUGCUUCUACCACAUCUAUUAAAAUGUUUAUAGUUUUGCACUUUUGCAUAAUUACAUCUGUCCCAUCAGAAAAAUUUCUAGGCUACCAGUUGCUGUCACUUACCAGGUGCUGUCACAGUUAGUGACAGCAACUCUGAUUAGGUUCCACUAGUUAUUGAAAUUAAUGAAAAGUACCUGCAAAUCAAGAAGUAUCAUUGGUAUUUGUAGAUUUUUUUUUUUAAAGCUCUGUAAGGACAGCUGAACUCUUCUGUUAAAGGAGCAAAUGCAGAUGAAAACUAAGCAUUACAGGAAAACGUACUGUUGGCAGUAUUGGAGAUUUUAAAGUACAACAUUCAAAUUGUUAAUUUGCUAAAGGAGUUUGCAACUCAUGCCACCUUGUUUUCAUGGAAGACUUCCAAACAAGUUUUCAACAAUCAUCUGAGCUGUAAGAUCAGCCUUGUAUCAUAUGAUGCAGGGAUAGAAAAAUCACAAGCUUGAAAAAAGGAAAUGCAGAGCUGCUGUACAAUUAACCAUUUCCUCUUUUAUAUUUUGUGCAUGCAUCUGAAUAAUGACUGACUGUAAAUUCCACUACUUCCCAUGGAAAACUAACACUAAAUUUAAAAGACAAUUUUUCUGCACCACGUUUGUUCCUGGCUUCUAUCACAUUUACUGAAUUUUCAUAUAUCUAUCUGUGCCUUAGGAGACCCCCUCACCUUUACAAAAAUGUAUUUUUGAAAAUAAGCCUUAAGAACCUUCCAGACUCAGGGGUAGAAAAGGAAGGAAAAUCAGAACUAAGACAGGGUGUGUGCUGGAGAGAAGAGGGAGUCCUCCAAGAGACCAUAAAUUUCUCUUCAUUUUACCAACAUAUAGAUUCAUGUUGGUAAUCCAUGUGGCUGCUGAAUCAUAGAUUUAUUUUACAAGUAACCUGUAGGUCUUACAAAUAAAAUUUCAGUGCUGUAAAAUCAUUGUAUGGACACAUAAGACCUGAGUGAAUCACACGCAUUUCAAAUCUUCUGGUCCUGGAGGUGAGCAGCACAGAAUCUGCAGAUAAAAGCAAUGCCAUCCAAAAUAUCAUCACUUUGGGGUCUGUGGAGACAGUGGCGGGGAUGUGAUGUGCUGGGGGCUAGAAUGAUAAUUUUCCACAUGUUCGGUGUUAAACAAGUCUAUAAAUCAAGGCUCCAGGAAUCAAUUUUUCCCAUGUUCAUUUUGGGGGACAGUAAGUGAAGCUUGUCUGCAUAACAUGUGAAUGAUUCAUAUUUUAGGCAUUUUCACCAUGCCUAAGAUCUCACUUGUCUCUUCCCAAUACAACUCUAAGGUUUUGUACUCUAAGUCAAAAGCUUAUGAAAAGGAGUUGAGAUGAUUUUGUGAUUUAUGAGAGGUAGUGACAGGCAUGGAAUGGAUGUGCUGUGACAUCUUCAGAAGAUAGUUGGUCACCUGUGACCACAGCAGACCCUUCCUGGUGAUUACAUUGUCCCUCCCAGUCCUUUCAUCUGUUUUUGUCCUGUGCGCACCAGUGCUAGAGGCUGUGAAAAGCUGGUGUCUGCUGUCUUUAGGGAAAUCUGUGGAUUUCAUACUUGACUCACAGACAUCUAUGUUGCACCACUGAUGAUGCUAAUUUACAAAGACAGUUAAUACUGAAGGCUAUCAGUGUAUCUACUGAUCAUAUGCAUCUGGAGACUAAGAAAACAUCUUCACAAUAUGAAAAGAAGCAGUUUCCACCAAUGUGACUCAGUCCUAAGUAUAUGAGGUUUUUGCUUCAUGGUUCAGCAUCUGUACUACUUGCUGCAUCUGAAGGCAGUUAUCAACAGUCAAAAGUCAGCAAGAAAUCUCCCAGCAACUUCAAGAGCAAAGAGAAAAGGUGCUAAACUACUAUGUAUCAUUCUCCCAAUUCAGGGUUAAGCAACACAGUCAAAAAGCGGCAACUACUCUUGCCCAUUUCAUACUCUGUGCUGAGAGAAUUUUUGCUUCCUGAUCUCUUAAUCUAGUUCUUAUCAGUGUUCUCCUUUUACCGAAAGGAAACCACGGACAAAUACAUAUCAGACUUAGCAAUAUACUUAAAUGGAGAGAUGAAAAAAAUGUCAUUUAUGGCUGCCCAUUUAUCAGCAUCUCUGUCAUUCUGAGAAAUAGAGAUGAAAAGUUAAAAAACACCAAUGCAUUUCAACUCUGCCAUUCCUAGGAUUAGUCUUUCUGUGCAUGCUUCUCUGCCUUGCAGGGUAAACACAUAAAGCAAUGAAUAGACAAGAAGCACUCCCAGCAAAAGAGAAUUUACAAAUCUUCAAACGAUGUUGAAUGUGAGUGGGCAGACCGUGACAAAAUGUUCACACUUCAUCAAAUCUAACUAGUUUGCCACUACAUAUUUAUGCUAUAAACUGUGAACUGGAGUUCCUCUGUGGGAGAGUAACCUAAAUGAAAUGACAAGAAGCAAAAAGACAACUGCUUUUGCAGCCCAUUCCCUGAUGUGCACUGAUAUAUACCACACUCAGCCACCCCCUACACUUCUGUGCUCAGUCUCUCACAACUUGACUUUUUUCUGUGAAGGCUAAUUAAAAGGCAAAGACAUUAGACCAAUGAAACACAAGGAAAAUUGCUGAAAACAUGUUGAGAAUGGGCACUCCCAUGAAUGAGGCAGAGAGGAAUAUGUUUACAGUUCUUUCACUGCUCCAAAGAAAGUUCACCAAGAUGCUACCAGAG
Aquila chrysaetos chrysaetos is the source of this 5163-nucleotide long non-coding RNA. RefSeq lists it as uncharacterized. NCBI's taxonomy places the organism in Eukaryota, Metazoa, Chordata, Aves, Accipitriformes, Accipitridae. The transcript is spliced from 3 exons. The record is from RefSeq and is a predicted model, not a curated record.